RNAcentral lists this ribosomal RNA (422 nucleotides) under uncultured bacterium. Its description in RNAcentral is "bacterial SSU rRNA". It matches the Rfam family "Bacterial small subunit ribosomal RNA", at positions 355 to 774 of the family's 1533-position model. The record is from RNAcentral.
UGGGGAAUAUUGGUCAAUGGGUGCAAGCCUGAACCAGCCAUCCCGCGUGAAGGACGACUGCCCUAUGGGUUGUAAACUUCUUUUGUAUAGGGAUAAACCUACCCUCGUGAGGGUAGCUGAAGGUACUAUACGAAUAAGCACCGGCUAACUCCGUGCCAGCAGCCGCGGUAAUACGGAGGGUGCAAGCGUUAUCCGGAUUUAUUGGGUUUAAAGGGUCCGUAGGCGGACUUAUAAGUCAGUGGUGAAAGCCUGUCGCUUAACGACAGAACUGCCAUUGAUACUGUGUUGCUAGGAUAUGGUUGCUGUGAGUGGAAUGUGUGGUGUAGCGGUGAAAUGCUUAGAUAUCACACAGAAUAUCGAUUGCGAAGGCAGCUCACAAAGCCAUUAUUGACGCUGAGGCACGAAAGUGUGGGGAUCAAACA